GCAGCCUGAACUGACUAAGGCAGCUCCGCUAGAUGACCAAAACUGCUGCAGCUCUUCAGACUCUGGAAAGGAAGUUAUCCCAUUCCACCCCCACUCAGCAAAACACUUGAGAGAGCAGUGGUUUCAGCCAAACCAGACAGAAGGGGGCGCUCCUGAGUCAUCUGAGAAGAGGAUUCUGGGCUGAUGUCUUAGCCGUGGCUCAAGGAACAUCAGAAAUUUUGUCUGUCCAUCCAUCAGUCUGAAGAUCUCACAGUCCUCUGUGACUGUUCCUGACCCCAUCAGAUGGGGGGCCUGAGCCCGGAGUGCUGAGCUGGUCGGUAGGGUGCAGCACAUUCCUCAUCUGGAGCUGACACCUUUAGGACUUUCUUCCCAGUUGUCUUCUUCGGGCUUCCUCCUCCGCACCCUGUCACGCCGAAGCCUCUCACACUCAGGAGUUUCUCCUUCCAGUAAGAAGGCCUGCGUAUGUAUUGGCUUAGGGGAAUGGGAGGUGAGGGUAUGAUGCCUGUAUCAGCUUACACAGCCCCAGAAAAAAAGACUGGCUUUUUGGCUUCUAGUACCUCCAACUUCUCUCUGUCCAAAGGAUGGGGGGCAAUCCCGGGUAUGGUGGCUGGUGUGCAGGAUGAGACCUCUAGACUGCAGACAAAGGCAUUGCCAGCAGAGCUGAGGGCACAGGCCCAAGUCUGGAGUCAGUGGACUUGUACUGGGGGAGGACAUGCAAAAGUCAUCCUCAGAUCUGUUCCCCCUAGAGCAAACUUGUCCAACCCACGGCCUGAGGAGUACAUGUGGCCCAGGACAGCUUUGAAUGCGGCCUGACGCAAAUUUGUAAACUUUCUUAAAACAUGAGAUACUUUUGCGAUAUAUAUAUUUUUAGUUCACAGCUGUCAGUGUUAGUGGGUUUUUGUUGCUGUUGUUUGGAGGAAGUCUUGCUCUCUCAGGCUGGAG
Sapajus apella (tufted capuchin) is the source of this 942-nucleotide long non-coding RNA. RefSeq lists it as uncharacterized. The transcript has 3 exons. The record is from RefSeq and is a predicted model, not a curated record. Lineage: Eukaryota; Metazoa; Chordata; Mammalia; Primates; Cebidae.